UCUGAAUUAGUUCAUACUUACACAUGCAUGGCUUAAUCUUUGAGACAAGCAUAUGACUACUGGCAGGAUCAACCAGGUAGCAUUCCUCUUUGCUGCCGGCACCGCAUGAACAAAAGGACAAAUACAAUCCUAGAGUCAGAACGGGGCACGUCAGGCUUCCGUAAGGGAAAAUUGAUUCGGGCAAAAAAGGGACAAAGGACCCCCCGACCGAUCAUGCAUCUACAUACAAGAUUUCGAGCGACACUUGGGCGUCCGAUGCUUGCAAGCUAAAUAAGCAAAGCAAGGGCGGACGUCCAUUAGGAGCUUCAGGGUCUACGUCGCACAAAACAUUUCGCACGAGAUAGAGUAGGGGCCAUGGGACUAGAGAAUUCCAUCAAAAUAGGGUAUGCUGCACAGGAGGCCAAGCCAAUCCAAGGCAAAAUAUUUAGCACUUGGACAUAAUUGAACAGGUUUGAACCAGCGGUUGUCGCUGCCGAGGCAGGGAACCAACCAACCGGAACAUACCAA
RNAcentral lists this unclassified non-coding RNA (507 nucleotides) under Melanosciadium angelicifolium. RNAcentral describes it as "Ligusticum angelicifolium partial external transcribed spacer 1". The record is from RNAcentral. Lineage: Eukaryota; Viridiplantae; Streptophyta; Magnoliopsida; Apiales; Apiaceae.